UACAUGUGGGGCAAGCGUUGUUCGGAAUUACUGGGCAUAAAGGGUGCGUAGGCGGCUUACUAAGUCAGUGGUGAAAUCGUCUGGCCCAACCAGACACGUGCCAAUGAUACUGGUGAGCUAGAGUGCGUGAGGGGUAGGGGGAACGAGCAGUGUAGCGGUGAAAUGCGUAGAUAUUGCUCGGAAGGCCAAAGCCGAAGGGACCCUACUGGUGCGCAACUGACGCUGAGGCACGAAAGCGUGGGGAGCAAACAGG
Molecule: ribosomal RNA, 253 nt
Filed under: uncultured bacterium
Lineage: Bacteria
Description: partial 16S ribosomal RNA
Rfam family: Bacterial small subunit ribosomal RNA
Source: RNAcentral